Nicotiana tabacum (common tobacco) is the source of this 227-nucleotide non-coding RNA. Lineage: Eukaryota; Viridiplantae; Streptophyta; Magnoliopsida; Solanales; Solanaceae. The record is from RefSeq and is a predicted model, not a curated record.
GAAAGAUAUUUUUUGUUGUUGUUGUUGUGUGUAUAUGAUUACACCGUGAUAUAUUUGUUAGUUUUUCCAACAAUUAUGGUGAUGUAUGGGAGAGGUAAGCAAUGAUGCAACUCUCCUUAGUGAGAUAAGCAAUGAUGCAAUGAGUGGUAGGUGAGAUUUGCACUUUUGGUCCCUAUCUCAAAACUAUAAAUACCCCCUUCCAUUUCAUUGUAUAACACACCAAAAAA